RNAcentral lists this ribosomal RNA (433 nucleotides) under uncultured bacterium. RNAcentral describes it as "partial 16S ribosomal RNA". It matches the Rfam family "Bacterial small subunit ribosomal RNA", at positions 29 to 507 of the family's 1533-position model. The record is from RNAcentral.
AACGAACGCUGGCGGCAUGCCUAACACAUGCAAGUCGAACGAGACCUUCGGGUCUAGUGGCGUCCGGGUUCGUAACGGGUGGGAACCUGCCCUUAGGUUCGGAAUAACUCCCAGACAGGGGUGCUAAUACCGGAUAAUGUCUUCGGACCAAAGAUUUAUCGCCUUUGGAUGGUCCCGCGUUGGAUUAGCUAGUUGGUAGGGUAAAAGCCUACCAAGGCGACGAUCCAUAGCUUGUCUGAGAGGCUGCUCAGCCACACUGGGACUGAGACGCGGCCCAGACUCCUACGGGAGGCAGCAGUGGGGAAUAUUGGACAAUGGGCGGAGGCCUGAUCCAGCAAUGCCGCGUGAGUGAUGUAGGCCUUAGGGUUGUAAAGUUCUUUUACCCGGGAUGAUAAUGACGGUACCGGGAGAAUAAGCCCCGGCUAACUACAUG